Molecule: long non-coding RNA, 299 nt
Organism: Fukomys damarensis (Damara mole-rat)
Lineage: Eukaryota; Metazoa; Chordata; Mammalia; Rodentia; Bathyergidae
Exons: 4
Source: RefSeq, a predicted model, not a curated record
CCUAAACAAAGUUCUUGACAUCAAAAAUGUUUCUGACUCUGUCACUAGCAACACUUCUCCAGGUUUCAACGAACUUGCCACUUCUGUGUAUGUUUACCGUCAUUCAGAUGAAUGCCCAUUGGAUUUCUUGACCCUCGAGGAUCAAAAGAAGCACGAGGAAUGAAAUGCCAGACCACUGCUGACCAAUCUACAACCUUCAGGAAAGAUGCGGUUCAGCUUUUGAACUAAGAACAAAUCAAUGGAAAAAUAAUGCUGUAUCAAAUUUCAGUGUGUAAGAGCAGAAGCUAGGGGUGGAGGAA